Molecule: unclassified non-coding RNA, 463 nt
Filed under: uncultured marine bacterium 106
Lineage: Bacteria
Description: partial 16S-23S ribosomal RNA intergenic spacer
Rfam family: tRNA (bases 165-239)
Source: RNAcentral
CCUCCUUUCUAAGGACGCCAGAGAUGCUUUAUGCUUAUCUCUGGAUAGUCAAAGUCGAAACAGACUCUCUUCUCUUCUCUCCCUUUUCUCCUGUAAAUUCUAAGUUAUGAAUUUAGAGCAACGAAGGAAUUAGAUUCGUUACUGUGGACUCCUAAUUUCAAGAGGGGCCUGUAGCUCAGCUUGGUUAGAGCGCAUCCCUGAUAAGGAUGAGGCCGGUGGUUCAAGUCCACCCAGGCCCACCAGCUCAUUUCUGAUAUGGAUUUGGAUUUGGCGACUAUAAUGGUAGCAAAUCUAAGGCAUGGUAAUCCAAAUCAGAUAUUAAAGAUCGGGGGAUUAGCUCAGCUGGUAGAGCGCCUGCUUUGCAAGCAGGAGGUCAGCGGUUCGAACCCGCUAUCCUCCACCAAAUUAAUGAACAGUAAAAAAGGUGGUGUAGCUUAAGCAGAAGAUAAGCUUCAGCAAUUAU